RNAcentral lists this ribosomal RNA (234 nucleotides) under uncultured bacterium. Its description in RNAcentral is "partial 16S ribosomal RNA". It matches the Rfam family "Bacterial small subunit ribosomal RNA", at positions 544 to 776 of the family's 1533-position model. The record is from RNAcentral.
UCCGGAAUUAUUGGGCGUAAAGAGCUCGUAGGCGGUGUGUCGCGUCGGUCGUGAAAACUUGGGGCUUAACCCUGAGCUUGCGGUCGAUACGGGCAUCACUGGAGUUCGGCAGGGGAGACUGGAAUUCCUGGUGUAGCGGUGAAAUGCGCAGAUAUCAGGAGGAACACCGGUGGCGAAGGCGGGUCUCUGGGCCGAUACUGACGCUGAGGAGCGAAAGCGUGGGGAGCAAACAGG